Molecule: ribosomal RNA, 301 nt
Filed under: uncultured bacterium
Lineage: Bacteria
Description: partial 16S ribosomal RNA
Rfam family: Bacterial small subunit ribosomal RNA
Source: RNAcentral
CAGUCGCCACGGUAAUACGGAGGGUGCAAGCGUUAAUCGGAAUUACUGGGCGUAAAGCGUGCGUAGGCGGUUUGUUAAGUCUGCUGUGAAAUCCCCGGGCUCAACCUGGGAAUGGCAGUGGAUACUGGCAAGCUAGAGUGUGUCAGAGGAUGGUGGAAUUCCCGGUGUAGCGGUGAAAUGCGUAGAGAUCGGGAGGAACAUCAGUGGCGAAGGCGGCCAUCUGGGACAACACUGACGCUGAGGCACGAAAGCGUGGGGAGCAAACAGGAUUAGAUACCCGCGUAGUCCCUGUCUCUUAUAC